CUCCAGUUUUAAAAGACAUACCAACAUUUUUGACAAUUAAAGUAGGAUGGCAGUAGGGGUAAGAUAAAAUGUUUGAAAGAUAACAAAAUAUGUAAUUGUUUUACUUUUUGCAAUAAAUGGUAUUCUGUGUCUACUCCAAACAAAACAAAACAUGCUUCUUUGUUCUCUCUAUGUUCUCUCUAUUGCUAGUCUUAGCACUACACUCAUAUAAAAGGUAGAGAGUGGUACCAUCACUGAGUACAUGGCACAUAUCUGAUAUGUAAACAAGCAAGCAAUCAAAACACCCAAGGCUGACACUAACUCUGCAGUGUGUAAUACAGUCAACAUUUAAAAUCUGUUUCAUAAUCCAGUCAAUCAUCAUCAGCCUAAACUACAGGAAACAAACAAUGCAUAAAUCUUAUUCUGAGACCUUAGAAACAAAAUACUUCUUAAAUGGUAAUACAGUUUUCUAAAAACUGACGAUAUCUGUUGCUCCAAAGAGAUAACUAGGUUGAGCAUUAUAGCAACAUCUGUAGAAACAAAGUGAAACCAUCAGUAUAUGUCAACAACACUUGGCAGUACUUCUCUGCAUCUAGUUGUAUCAAGUAAUAAGAACUCUGUAGAAAAGAGCUGUUAAAAUUUCAAAAAUAGUGGAAUACUCAUACAUGAAUCUCUGUCAUAAUAAAAAGCAAUAUCAGAGAAUACAGCCCAAGAAAACUUAGUACGAUUAAUUCAUCAGGGAGAAAAAUUUGACUCAUUCUUCAAUGAGGGAAGCCUCUGGGAUCACAUAAACAAAGAGCAGAGAGAGGAAAGAGCAAAUCCCUGGGGAACAGCAUUAGCAUAAUUGAACACUUAAAUGCAUAAGAAACAAAUUGAGACCACUUAAGUAAAUAAGGAGAAAGCUAUGUAAAGACAGCAUCAAGAUGCUACAAUUGAUCUUUAACUGUUACCAUCUCUAGAAUUAAGUAGGGCAGAUACCUCUAAGGACUAGUUCCUUAGCAUUAAGCUAAAUGGUUAGGCAUGUGACUUUCUGCAGGGACAGCUUGCUUUGAACCCAAGUGCUAGCACCUGGCAAAUGUUAUAAUCUUGGGCAUGGUUUUUCUUUACAUCAUAGUUUCCUUAUUGUAUAUAAAGCAAAAUAAUAAUGCCACCUCAUAGAAUCCCAUGGGUUUUAAAUGAGUUAACUGGAUAAAAUAUUUAACUUAUGGUGCAUGGCCCAUCGUAAAUAACCAAUAAAUGUAUUAUUGUUAUUAAAGGU
Molecule: long non-coding RNA, 1237 nt
Filed under: Homo sapiens (human)
Lineage: Eukaryota; Metazoa; Chordata; Mammalia; Primates; Hominidae
Description: HSALNT0008877
Source: RNAcentral